Molecule: ribosomal RNA, 451 nt
Filed under: uncultured bacterium
Lineage: Bacteria
Description: partial 16S ribosomal RNA
Rfam family: Bacterial small subunit ribosomal RNA
Source: RNAcentral
GUGGGGAAUAUUGCGCAAUGGGGGAAACCCUGACGCAGCGACGCCGUGUGAGGGAAGAAGGCUCUCGGGUCGUAAACCUCUGUCAGAAAGGAAGAACCUCCCAUAUCCGAACAGGGUGUGGGACUGACGGUACUUUCAAAGGAAGCACCGGCUAACUCCGUGCCAGCAGCCGCGGUAAUACGGAGGGUGCAAGCGUUAAUCGGAAUCACUGGGCGUAAAGCGCGCGUAGGCCGCUUUUUAAGUCGGACGUGAAAGCCCUCGGCUCAACCGGGGAAUGGCGUUCGAAACUGGGAGGGUUGAGUCCUGGAGAGGGUGGCGGAAUUCCGGGUGUAGGAGUGAAAUCCGUAGAUAUCCGGAGGAACACCGGUGGCGAAGGCGGCCACCUGGACAGGUACUGACGCUGAGGCGCGAAAGCGUGGGGAGCAAACAGGAUUAGAAACCCUAGUAGUCC